This 253-nucleotide ribosomal RNA is filed under the name uncultured bacterium. RNAcentral describes it as "partial 16S ribosomal RNA". It matches the Rfam family "Bacterial small subunit ribosomal RNA", at positions 524 to 776 of the family's 1533-position model. The record is from RNAcentral.
UACGUAGGGUGCAAGCGUUGUCCGGAAUUAUUGGGCGUAAAGAGCUCGUAGGUGGUUUGUUACGUCUGCUGUGAAAACCUAGGGCUUAACCCUGGGCUUGCAGUGGAUACGGGCAGACUAGAGUACUGCAGGGGAGACUGGAAUUCCUGGUGUAGCGGUGGAAUGCGCAGAUAUCAGGAGGAACACCGGUGGCGAAGGCGGGUCUCUGGGCAACAACUGACGCUGAGGAGCGAAAGCGUGGGGAGCGAACAGG